UGCAACCAGUGUCUCUGCCUACCCGAUCCU
RNAcentral lists this non-coding RNA (30 nucleotides) under Homo sapiens (human). Lineage: Eukaryota; Metazoa; Chordata; Mammalia; Primates; Hominidae. The record is from RNAcentral.